UCACAAAACCAAUCCUACGACUCUUCAGACUACAACAAAGAUAGAAA
RNAcentral lists this small RNA (47 nucleotides) under Arabidopsis thaliana (thale cress). RNAcentral describes it as "ATSL228140". Lineage: Eukaryota; Viridiplantae; Streptophyta; Magnoliopsida; Brassicales; Brassicaceae. The record is from RNAcentral.